GGGAGUAUAACUUAAUGGUAUAGUGUAUGCUUUGCAAGCAUAAAGUUAUCGGUUCAAGUCCGAUUAUUUCCA
This 72-nucleotide transfer RNA is filed under the name Didymosphenia geminata (rock snot). Its description in RNAcentral is "tRNA-Ala". It matches the Rfam family "tRNA". From Rfam's summary of the family: Transfer RNA (tRNA) molecules are approximately 80 nucleotides in length. Their secondary structure includes four short double-helical elements and three loops (D, anti-codon, and T loops). Further hydrogen bonds mediate the characteristic L-shaped molecular structure. tRNAs have two regions of fundamental functional importance: the anti-codon, which is responsible for specific mRNA codon recognition, and the 3' end, to which the tRNAs corresponding amino acid is attached (by aminoacyl-tRNA synthetases). tRNAs cope with the degeneracy of the genetic code in two manners: having more than one tRNA (with a specific anti-codon) for a particular amino acid; and 'wobble' base-pairing, i.e. permitting non-standard base-pairing at the 3rd anti-codon position. The record is from RNAcentral. Lineage: Eukaryota; Bacillariophyta; Bacillariophyceae; Cymbellales; Cymbellaceae.